GAUGAACGCUGGCGGCGCGCCUAACACAUGCAAGUCGAACGGUUAAAGCAUCUUCGGAUGUGUAUAAAGUGGCGAACGGCUGAGUAACACGUGGGCAACCUGCCCUUUGCACUGGGAUAGCCUCGGGAAACCGAGGUUAAUACCGGAUACUCCAUAUUUGUCGCAUGGCGAAUAUGGGAAAGCUCCGGCGGCAAGGAUGGGCCCGCGGCCUGUUAGCUAGUUGGUGGGGUAGUGGCCUACCAAGGCAAUGAUGGGUAGCCGGGUUGAGAGACCGACCGGCCAGAUUGGGACUGAGACACGGCCCAGACUCCUACGGGAGGCAGCAGUGGGGAAUCUUGCACAAUGGGCGAAGCCUGAUGCAGCGACGCCGCGUGCGGAUGAAGCCUCCGGGUGUAACCGCUUUCAGCAGGGACGAGGCCGCAAGGUGACGGUACCUGCAGAAGAAGCCCCGGCUAACUACGUGCACAGCGCGUAUCCGCGGUAAUACGUAGGGGGCAAGCGUUAUCCGGAUUCAUUGGGCGUAAAGCGCGCGUAGGCGGUCUGUUAGGUCAGGAGUUAAAUCUGGGGGCUCAACCCCUAUCCGCUCCUGAUACCGGCAGGCUUGAGUCUGGUAGGGGAAGAUGGAAUUCCAAGUGUAGCGGUGAAAUGCGCAGAUAUUUGGAAGAACACCGGUGGCGAAGGCGGUCUUCUGGGCCAUGACUGACGCUGAGGCGCGAAAGCUAGGGGAGCGAACAGGAUUAGAUACCCUGGUAGUCCUAGCUGUAAACGAUGGACACUAGGUGUGGGGAGAUUAUACUUUCCGUCCGCAGCUAACGCAUUAAGUGUCAGCCUGGGAGUACGGUCGCAAGACUA
RNAcentral lists this ribosomal RNA (852 nucleotides) under Fannyhessea vaginae. Its description in RNAcentral is "bacterial SSU rRNA". It matches the Rfam family "Bacterial small subunit ribosomal RNA", at positions 28 to 896 of the family's 1533-position model. Lineage: Bacteria; Bacillati; Actinomycetota; Coriobacteriia; Coriobacteriales; Atopobiaceae. The record is from RNAcentral.